GACGAACGCUGGCGGCGUGCCUAAUACAUGCAAGUAGAACGCUGAAGAGAGGAGCUUACUCUUCUUGGAUGAGUUGCGAACGGGUGAGUAACGCGUAGGUAACCUGCCUUGUAGCGGGGGAUAACUAUUGGAAACGAUAGCUAAUACCGCAUAACAAUGGAUGACACAUGUCAUUUAUUUGAAAGGGGCAAUUGCUCCACUACAAGAUGGACCUGCGUUGUAUUAGCUAGUAGGUGAGGUAAUGGCUCACCUAGGCGACGAUACAUAGCCGACCUGAGAGGGUGAUCGGCCACACUGGGACUGAGACACGGCCCAGACUCCUACGGGAGGCAGCAGUAGGGAAUCUUCGGCAAUGGGGGCAACCCUGACCGAGCAACGCCGCGUGAGUGAAGAAGGGUUUCGGAUCGUAAAGCUCUGUUGUAAGUCAAGAACGGAUGUGAGAGUGGAAAGUUCACACUGUGACGGUAGCUUACCAGAAAGGGACGGCUAACUACGUG
Molecule: ribosomal RNA, 497 nt
Filed under: uncultured bacterium
Lineage: Bacteria
Description: partial 16S ribosomal RNA
Rfam family: Bacterial small subunit ribosomal RNA
Source: RNAcentral